RNAcentral lists this unclassified non-coding RNA (400 nucleotides) under uncultured Verrucomicrobiales bacterium. RNAcentral describes it as "contains 16S-23S intergenic spacer region". Lineage: Bacteria; Pseudomonadati; Verrucomicrobiota; Verrucomicrobiia; Verrucomicrobiales. The record is from RNAcentral.
UGGACUACUCGGGUUUCUAAUCCCUUUCGCUCCCCUGGCCUUCGUGCCUCAGCGUCAGUUAAUGUCCAGGAACCCGCCUUCGCCACGAGUGUUCCUCUCGAUAUCUACGCAUUUCACUGCUACACCGAGAAUUCCGGUUCCCCCUCCAUUACUCUAGUCUCGCAGUAUCAUGUGCAGUCCGGGGGUUGAGCCCCCGCCUUUCACACACGACUUACGAAACCGCCUACGCACGCUUUACGCCCAGUGAUUCCGAACAACGCUUGAGACCUCUGUAUUACCGCGGCUGCUGGCACAGAGUUAGCCGUCUCUUCCUCUUGUGGUACUAUCUUUUUAAUUUGCUCCCACAUGACAGGGGUUUACAAUCCGAAGACCUUCAUUCCCCCACGCGGCGUCGCACCAU